GGGCCGGUAGAUUAGCCCGGUAGUCGCUGCGAACUGUCGUUUCACGGGGCGCGAGUUCAAAUUUCGCCCGGUCCACCA
Molecule: transfer RNA, 78 nt
Filed under: Candidatus Thorarchaeota archaeon
Lineage: Archaea; Promethearchaeati; Candidatus Thorarchaeota
Description: tRNA-Asp
Rfam family: tRNA
About the family: Transfer RNA (tRNA) molecules are approximately 80 nucleotides in length. Their secondary structure includes four short double-helical elements and three loops (D, anti-codon, and T loops).
Source: RNAcentral